RNAcentral lists this ribosomal RNA (659 nucleotides) under uncultured archaeon. Its description in RNAcentral is "bacterial SSU rRNA". It matches the Rfam family "Archaeal small subunit ribosomal RNA", at positions 175 to 817 of the family's 1478-position model. The record is from RNAcentral.
GUGAGUCUUCGCCCAAAAGACGUUGGGGUUAUGCUCUCCAGCGUCGCCCAAGGAUGGGGCCGCGGCCGAUCAGGUUGUUGGUGAGGUAAUGGCUCACCAAGCCUUUUACCGGUGCGGGCCGUGGGAGCGGGAGCCCGGAGAUGGGCACUGAGACAAGGGCCCAGGCCCUACGGGGCGCAGCAGUCGCGAAAACUUUGCAAUAAGCGAAAGCUUGACAGGGCUAUCCCGAGUGCCAUCCGCUGAGGAAGGCUUUUACCCAGUCUAGAACGCUGGGGGAAUAAGGAGAGGGCAAGUCUGGUGUCAGCCGCCGCGGUAAUACCAGCUCUCCGAGUGGUGUGGAUGUUUAUUGGGCCUAAAGCAUCCGUAGCUGGCUAGGUUAGUCCCCUGUUAAAUCCACCGAAUUAAUCGUUGGAUUGCGGGGGAUACUGCUUGGCUAGGGGACGAGAGAGGCAGACGGUAUUUCCGGGGUAGGGGUAAAAUCCUAUAAUCCCGGGAAGACCACCAGUGGCGAAGGCUGUCUGCUAGAACGCGCCCGACGGUGAGGGAUGAAAGCUGGGGGAGCGAACCGGAUUAGAUACCCGGGUAGUCCCAGCUGUAAACGAUGCAGACUAGGUGUUUGGACGGCCACGUGCCGUUCUAGUGCCGCAGGGAAGCUGUUA